UACAGGGGUCUCAAGCGUUGUUCGGAUUCAUUGGGCGUAAAGGGUGUGUAGGUGGCGCCGUAAGUCGGGUGUGAAAUUUCGGAGCUUAACUCCGAAACUGCAUUCGAUACUGCCGUGCUUGAGGACUGGAGAGGAGACUGGAAUUUACGGUGUAGCGGUGAAAUGCGUAGAUAUCGUAAGGAAGACCAGUGGCGAAGGCGGGUCUCUGGACAGUUCCUGACGCUGAAGCACGAAGGCCAGGGGAGCAAACGGG
RNAcentral lists this ribosomal RNA (253 nucleotides) under uncultured bacterium. Its description in RNAcentral is "partial 16S ribosomal RNA". It matches the Rfam family "Bacterial small subunit ribosomal RNA", at positions 524 to 776 of the family's 1533-position model. The record is from RNAcentral.